UGGCGAAGUUCUCUCUAACAGUGCAGGUGUACAUAAUGAGGACGCCACUUCCUUGAAGAGACGCAAUCAUUUUUGACACUGUCCAGGCACUUGACGUCACAGAACGAUUGAUACUAAAACGAGCUACAUAAUGAGGGAAGAGGACGUUUUUAUUCAAGGUCGUCAUGGAAUAGCCGCCUACGCACAAUUACACCACUUGCUAUCCCGCCGGCGUGCUCUUCCCUUUCACCCUUGAGGUGUGUGGAUAAGGCCCAGAUAUACCCACCAUCGGCCACUACAUGCUCUCUUGUUGCCACAAGCUUCGACAGCAACGGUAUACGUCGAUUGAUUACAACAUGCGGGGCUGACGUGUCAUCACCUGGAACGAAAACCUACGUUGACGCAGUGUAGUUACACCCUCGUUAAUGGAGCCUGUCCUGAGUACCAUCGACGACAACGAUGCAUUCGGUGAGAUGCAACUUCGUGCCAACAUUUACGGUCAAGGCCGAGCUUGCCUUGGGAGAACAAGCGUCGUCAAAGCGAGGCAAAAAACAAAACAAAAAGGAAUAAAAAGAGACGUCGUCUUUGAAACGCGGGCGCGUUAGUGACCACAUUGGUUCUCCACACAGAUGUAUGAAAGCGACAUUCGUGACAUUGUUCUUCUCUAAUGGCAACGCUAUCGUAACGAAGGUGCUUCAGGUAUGAAUGAACACCUGUAACUAUGUCAGAGAACGAAUAAAAGCGAAGGAAGUCCAGUUUAAUGUCCCUAUUGUCUGGUGCGCACGACUGGAAUCAACAAGAUGCUCCGGAAGGUUUCACGGUUCGC
Molecule: long non-coding RNA, 805 nt
Organism: Ornithodoros turicata
Lineage: Eukaryota; Metazoa; Arthropoda; Arachnida; Ixodida; Argasidae
Exons: 3
Source: RefSeq, a predicted model, not a curated record